GCAGAUGGAGAGCACCAACCAGGUGCAGGGCAGUGGAGAAUUGAGCUGCAUUUCGGCUGCACAGCUACUUAAUGAGAAACUGAAGACUGAAGCAGAAAUUCACAGUGCCUGGGUGUAUGAAAUCUGCCUUUUGGGUCCAGCAAUUCUUCACAGUCCUCCCUUAUUCAUGAGGUUUGAAGAUGGCCAACGAUUUAUAAUAAAUGGAUGAAUUUGAACUACAGGUUCCCAUCUCUCCAAAGUUACCCUAAUUUCCAGUCU
Manacus vitellinus (golden-collared manakin) is the source of this 258-nucleotide long non-coding RNA. RefSeq lists it as uncharacterized. Lineage: Eukaryota; Metazoa; Chordata; Aves; Passeriformes; Pipridae. The record is from RefSeq and is a predicted model, not a curated record. The transcript has 4 exons.